Abrus precatorius (Indian licorice) is the source of this 83-nucleotide small nucleolar RNA. RefSeq annotates it as small nucleolar RNA U54. The record is from RefSeq and is a predicted model, not a curated record. The transcript has a single exon. Lineage: Eukaryota; Viridiplantae; Streptophyta; Magnoliopsida; Fabales; Fabaceae.
GGCUCUAUGAUUUUCUGCCUAUGUUGCAGUAUACGCUAUUCCGAUGUACAGUAUGAGAAGAUAUUCUAUUGAAGAUGAGAGCC